GAUGGACGCUGGCGGCGUGCCUAAUACAUGCAAGUCGAGCGAACGGACGAGAAGCUUGCUUUUCUGAUGUUAGCGGCGGACGGGUGAGUAACACGUGGAUAACCUACCUAUAAGACUGGGAUAACUUCGGGAAACCGGAGCUAAUACCGGAUAAUAUUUUGAACCGCAUGGUUCAAAAGUGAAAGACGGUCUUGCUGUCACUUAUAGAUGGAUCCGCUCUGCAUUAGCUAGUUGGUAAGGUAACGGCUUACCAAGGCAACGAUGCAUAGCCGACCUGAGAGGGUGAUCGGCCACACUAGAACUGAGACACGGUCCAGACUCCUACGGGAGGCAGCAGUAGGGAAUCUUCCGCAAUGGGCGAAAGCCUGACGGAGCAACGCCGCGUGAGUGAUGAAGGUCUUCGGAUCGUAAAACUCUGUUAUUAGGGAAGAACAUAUGUGUAAGUAACUGUGCACAUCUUGACGGUACCUAAUCAGAAAGCCACGGCUAACUACGUG
RNAcentral lists this ribosomal RNA (497 nucleotides) under uncultured bacterium. Its description in RNAcentral is "partial 16S ribosomal RNA". It matches the Rfam family "Bacterial small subunit ribosomal RNA", at positions 28 to 507 of the family's 1533-position model. The record is from RNAcentral.